UGGUGGGCGGCAUACGGCCAGCUCCCUCUAACCCCCCCAGGGCGGAAACGCAGCAAGGGUACGAGGUCGUAGCGGCUGGUAUGUUUGCUCACCUUCU
This 97-nucleotide signal recognition particle RNA is filed under the name Lewinella sp. Its description in RNAcentral is "signal recognition particle sRNA small type". It matches the Rfam family "Bacteroidales small SRP", at positions 9 to 102 of the family's 107-position model. From Rfam's summary of the family: The non-coding component of the signal recognition particle in Bacteroides The record is from RNAcentral. Lineage: Bacteria; Pseudomonadati; Bacteroidota; Saprospiria; Saprospirales; Lewinellaceae.